Christensenella minuta is the source of this 126-nucleotide regulatory RNA element. It matches the Rfam family "Ribosomal protein L20 leader". Rfam says of the family: This family is a putative r-protein leader autoregulatory structure found in B. subtilis and other low-GC Gram-positive bacteria. It is located in the 5' untranslated regions of mRNAs encoding initiation factor 3 followed by ribosomal proteins L35 and L20 (infC-rpmI-rplT). NCBI's taxonomy places the organism in Bacteria, Bacillati, Bacillota, Clostridia, Christensenellales, Christensenellaceae. The record is from Rfam.
AAAACAAAGCAGAAGCUGCCCGCUUCUCACCUGCACGCAAGGGUGUGCAUGGUCAAAUAACGAGCAAAUAGCGUAUUUGUUGGUAUUUUUGCGGGUAGCGUAUGCUGCCCGCUUUUUUACUGGCGG